RNAcentral lists this transfer RNA (18 nucleotides) under Pelodryas caerulea (White's tree frog). Its description in RNAcentral is "Litoria caerulea (White's tree frog) partial tRNA-Phe". Lineage: Eukaryota; Metazoa; Chordata; Amphibia; Anura; Pelodryadidae. The record is from RNAcentral. RNAcentral also lists the same sequence under 3 other names.
UAAAAGUUCUUUAAACAC